UGAGGAAUAUUGGUCAAUGGGCGAGAGCCUGAACCAGCCAAGUAGCGUGCAGGAUGACGGCCCUAUGGGUUGUAAACUGCUUUUAUGCGGGGAUAAAGUGCGCGACGUGUCGUGCAUUGCAGGUACCGCAUGAAUAAGGACCGGCUAAUUCCGUGCCAGCAGCCGCGGUAAUACGGAAGGUCCGGGCGUUAUCCGGAUUUAUUGGGUUUAAAGGGAGCGUAGGCCGCCAGAUAAGCGUGUUGUGAAAUGUACCGGCUCAACCGGUGAAUUGCAGCGCGAACUGUUUGGCUUGAGUGCACGGUAAGCAGGCGGAAUUCAUGGUGUAGCGGUGAAAUGCUUGGAUAUCAUGAAGAACUCCGAUUGCGAAGGCAGCUUGCUGCAGUGCGACUGACGCUGAUGCUCGAAGGUGCGGGUAUCAAACAGG
RNAcentral lists this ribosomal RNA (424 nucleotides) under Fusobacteriota bacterium. Its description in RNAcentral is "Fusobacteria bacterium partial 16S ribosomal RNA". It matches the Rfam family "Bacterial small subunit ribosomal RNA", at positions 355 to 776 of the family's 1533-position model. Lineage: Bacteria; Fusobacteriati; Fusobacteriota. The record is from RNAcentral.